AGGACGAACGCUGGCGGCGUGCUUAACACAUGCAAGUCGAGCGGAAAGGCCCUUCGGGGUACUCGAGCGGCGAACGGGUGAGUAACACGUGAGUAAUCUGCCCCUAGCUCUGGGAUAGCUCCGGGAAACCGGGAUUAAUACCAGAUACGACCACUUUAGACAUCUUCUGUGGUGGAAAGAACUUCGGCUAGGGAUGAACUCGCGGCCUAUCAGCUUGUUGGUGAGGUAACGGCUCACCAAGGCGACGACGGGUAGCCGGCCUGAGAGGGCGACCGGCCACACUGGGACUGAGACACGGCCCCAGACUCCUACGGGAGGCAGCAGUGGGGAAUAUUGCGCAAUGGCGAAAGCCUGACGCAGCGACGCCGCGUGGGGGAUGAAGGCCUUCGGUUGUAAACCCCUUUCAGCAGGGACGAAGCGAAAGUGACGGUACCUGCAGAAGAAGCGCCGGCUAACUACGUGCCAGCAGCCGC
RNAcentral lists this ribosomal RNA (473 nucleotides) under uncultured bacterium. RNAcentral describes it as "SSU rRNA". It matches the Rfam family "Bacterial small subunit ribosomal RNA", at positions 26 to 518 of the family's 1533-position model. The record is from RNAcentral.